RNAcentral lists this ribosomal RNA (690 nucleotides) under Salmonella enterica subsp. enterica serovar Baildon. Its description in RNAcentral is "partial 23S ribosomal RNA". It matches the Rfam family "Bacterial large subunit ribosomal RNA", at positions 2164 to 2848 of the family's 2925-position model. Lineage: Bacteria; Pseudomonadati; Pseudomonadota; Gammaproteobacteria; Enterobacterales; Enterobacteriaceae. The record is from RNAcentral.
GUGGACGCCAGUCUGCGUGGAGCCGACCUUGAAAUACCACCCUUUAAUGUUUGAUGUUCUAACGUGGACCCGUGAUCCGGGUUGCGGACAGUGUCUGGUGGGUAGUUUGACUGGGGCGGUCUCCUCCUAAAGAGUAACGGAGGAGCACGAAGGUUGGCUAAUCCUGGUCGGACAUCAGGAGGUUAGUGCAAUGGCAUAAGCCAGCUUGACUGCGAGCGUGACGGCGCGAGCAGGUGCGAAAGCAGGUCAUAGUGAUCCGGUGGUUCUGAAUGGAAGGGCCAUCGCUCAACGGAUAAAAGGUACUCCGGGGAUAACAGGCUGAUACCGCCCAAGAGUUCAUAUCGACGGCGGUGUUUGGCACCUCGAUGUCGGCUCAUCACAUCCUGGGGCUGAAGUAGGUCCCAAGGGUAUGGCUGUUCGCCAUUUAAAGUGGUACGCGAGCUGGGUUUAGAACGUCGUGAGACAGUUCGGUCCCUAUCUGCCGUGGGCGCUGGAGAACUGAGGGGGGCUGCUCCUAGUACGAGAGGACCGGAGUGGACGCAUCACUGGUGUUCGGGUUGUCAUGCCAAUGGCACUGCCCGGUAGCUAAAUGCGGAAGAGAUAAGUGCUGAAAGCAUCUAAGCACGAAACUUGCCCCGAGAUGAGUUCUCCCUGAGACUUAGAGUCUCCUGAAGGAACGUUGAAGACGAC